GCAGAGUAGAUCAAUGAGCGUAUAAGUGCCGGGCAGACGGGGAGUUGCUGCACGGACGAAAAAUGCAUAUGCAUUUGCGGUUCAUCUGAUCGCAUCCCGCUG
RNAcentral lists this non-coding RNA (102 nucleotides) under human gut metagenome. RNAcentral's name for it is "THF riboswitch". It matches the Rfam family "THF (Tetrahydrofolate) riboswitch aptamer". Rfam says of the family: THF riboswitch presents a pseudoknot that joins P1-P2 and the loop of P3 and two THF binding. The record is from RNAcentral.